Molecule: microRNA precursor, 160 nt
Filed under: Brassica napus (rape)
Lineage: Eukaryota; Viridiplantae; Streptophyta; Magnoliopsida; Brassicales; Brassicaceae
Description: pre miRNA MIR396
Source: RNAcentral
CCUAAUUACCUCCUACCGAUUUCUUAAACACCGGAAAAAUAUAUUAGUCGAUCAAGAUACUCACCAAUAUUUCAAGAGAAUAUACUUUUCUAUUGGUGAGUAUCUUGAUCGACUAAUAUAUUUUUCCGGUGUUUAAGAAAUCGGUAGGAGGUAAUUAGGC